Molecule: RNA transcript, 3376 nt
Organism: Phyllopteryx taeniolatus (common seadragon)
Lineage: Eukaryota; Metazoa; Chordata; Actinopteri; Syngnathiformes; Syngnathidae
Gene: inpp5b
Gene name: inositol polyphosphate-5-phosphatase B
Exons: 24
Source: RefSeq, a predicted model, not a curated record
ACGUCACUCGGGGGCGCUGGCUUUAGAAUCAGUGCGUGGCAGUACUGAGAGUUUGGCCACAAACAACUGACAAGCAAAGUCACAUUCCAACGAACAAGCCUGCUGUGGGCCUUACGUGUCUAUGCUGCUCCUGUCGCCCACUCAUGAGAUCCACGACGACCACCCACGCGUGGACUUCCUGCAAAUUGACCCAAGACCCAGCACAGCCGUCAUGGAUCAGUCUAUCGCCGUCCAAGACACCCUGCAAGGAGACGAAAACUGCAUCAUAGCUCUACAAUGUGACGUCCUCACGCAUGACAAGACUGAAAGCCGACUGCUGGGAUUGGUGGAGUCUGUGAAACAGCAUGCAAUCUUUAUUUAUACCCAUCGGAGGAUGGCCAUUACGGCGGAUGACGUGUCUCUGGAGGACGUCGUACCGAUCGACCUCGACUUUGCUGUUGUCGAGAUUUCCUCCCCAGAGGAGCUGGCACUUGUUGGUGCUGAUACGAGAGUGCGAGUGAGUUACAAGGACGAGAGUCUGGAGCUUCGACUUCCCUUUGGCUCCCACUCGCGACUCUUUCUUGGCGAGGUCAUCCGGGCAUGGAGCGAUGUUUGCAAGUUUCCGACGCAAGAAGCCAAGUUUGAGUGGAUCAACAAAUACCGAGCUGCCACCAGAGGCCAGGGACUUGUCAAACAAGCCCUCGCACCCCUCGGCACAACGUUGAAUAAACUCAACCAGCACAGGAAAACAGCAGAGAAAUCGACAGACAAGAAAAAGCGGAGCUUGGAACACAUGAAAGGCUCCAACAGCACGACGCACAACUCCAGCACAGAGAGUCACGGUGUCUCCAGCCAGGGCGUCUCCAGCCGGGACGAGCGGGAUGACCUGGUGCGCUCCUCCAGCCACAUGGCGUCCAACAAAUCACACAUUCUAGCCAUGCCGCAGUUCGGCUUACGAGAUAACCUCAUCAGGUGCGAGCUGCUGAAGAACGAGGACCUGUACAUUUACAGAGAGCAUUUCAGCUUUUUCCUGGGCACGUACAAUGUAAACGGGCAGACACCGAAAGAAAGCCUCCGUCCAUGGCUGAGCUGUACGCUCGACCCUCCUGACAUGUACUGUGUGGGUUUCCAGGAGCUCGACCUCAGCAAAGAAGCUUUCUUCUUCAACGACACUCCCAAAGAGUUGGAGUGGACAAAGGCCGUGUCUGAUGCCUUGCAUCCUGAUGCGAAGUAUGCCUUAGUGAAGUUGAUGCGGCUGGUGGGCAUUAUGCUGCUCUUCUAUGUAAAGAAGGAGCACGCCGAGUUCAUCUCAGAUGUGGAGGUGGAGUCGGUGGGAACUGGCAUUAUGGGGAGGAUGGGAAACAAAGGUGCAGUGGGCCUCCGCUUUCGCUUUCACAAUUCUGACAUCUGCGUGAUCAACUGUCACCUGGCGGCGCACGUGGAAGAGUAUGAGAGGCGCAAUCAGGACUACAAAGACAUUUGCAGCCGCCUGCAGUUUCGCCAGAUUGACCCUACACAGCCACCGCUGACCAUCAUGAAGCAUGAUGUGGUCUUAUGGAUCGGAGACCUUAACUACAGGAUCAGUGACCUGGAUGUCAGCAACGUGAAGGAUCUCAUCAGCAAGAAGGACUUUGAGAUGCUGCACACGUAUGAUCAGCUCAAGAGGCAGAUCGAUGAGGAAGCAGUGUUCGUUGGCUUCGUGGAGGGGGAGAUUGAUUUCCAGCCCACCUACAAAUACGACACCGGUUCCGAUACGUGGGAUACGAGUGAAAAAUGUCGUGUGCCUGCGUGGUGCGACCGUAUCCUGUGGCGAGGCAAGGACAUCAGUCAGCAGCAUUACCAGAGUCACAUGACACUGAAGACCAGCGACCACAAACCUGUCAGUUCCCUGCUCAUCGUUGGGAUCAAGAGAGUUAAUGCGGAAUCCUACAAGAAAACCUUUGAAGAGAUUGUUCGCAAUUUAGACAAAAUGGAGAACGAGUGCAUUCCAUCUGUAACCUUGUCCAAACGAGAGUUCCACUUUGAGAAUGUGAAGUACAUGGAGCACCAAGCCAGGACGCUGAGUCUCGUCAACGACGGCCAGGUGCCGUGUCAGUUUGAAUUCAUCCGGAAGCCAAACGAGGCCACGUACUGCAAGCCUUGGCUCACCGCCAAUCCCCCCAAAGGGUUCAUCGCUCAGGGCGCUUCUGUGGACAUCGACCUUGAGGUUUUCGUGAACCGCGCCACAGCGCCUGAGUUAAAUUCUGGCAAGCAAGAUAUCGAAGACAUCUUGGUCCUCCACCUAGAGCGCGGCAAAGAUUACUUCAUCUCGGUGACGGGAAGCUACCUGCCCAGUUGCUACGGCACCCCCAUCCACGUAUUGUGUCGGCUAAGGGAGCCCAUCCAGGACAUGGCUCAGGAGACCCUCCGUCAACUGAUGGCGACGUCCGUGAAUGAAAACACAGGAAGCAGCGAAAAGCCUCUCGACAUCCCGAAAGAACUCUGGAUGAUGGUGGAUCACUUGUUUCGCAAUGCAAUCAAACAGGAAGACAUAUUUCAGCAACCAGGACUCCGGAGCGAAUUUUCUGAAAUACGGGACUGCCUUGACACUGGCAUGGUGGAUUCUCUCUCUGGCAGUAACCACUCAGUAGCAGAGGCCUUGCUUCUCUUCCUGGAUGCCCUUCCAGAGCCGGUCAUUCCCUACGCUUUCUACCAGCAGUGCCUCGAAUGUUGCUCCGAUGCGAUUCAGUGUGAGAAGGUAAUUUCCAUGCUACCUCAGUGCCACCGAAAUGUUUUUAAUUAUCUAACUGCCUUUCUGCGGGAGCUGCUGAAACAUUCUGCGAGCAAUCGAUUAGAUGUUACCAUCGUAGUAUACAACAAAAACAAAGGAAGUGACCUUGCUGUUCCAAUACUUUUGGAGGGGACUGAACGUCACGAGUGAAAAUCUCUGCCUACCUCUCCGCUCCCGCACGAGAGCUGUCAACAGUAGUAGCUGUCAUAAGGGCCUUUUCUGGACACUCAUAUGACAAAACCAAGCCACCAUCUUUGCCUCAAUGUUCCUGCGGUCGCCAACCAAGCAGGACCUUGCGGAGAAGAAGAAGGCACGAGAGUUCUUUCAGCACUUCUUAGGCCAGGCCUCACCCUAGACAGAGGACCACGUUUAAAUAAAACACUAAAAGAAGAAAGCUAUUGUCCUAUAUUUGAAAUAAACUGUUAAUAAUUUUGCAUAUCUUUUUGAGUAGUCUUCAGACACAUUAAAAAAGGUGUUGUAUACAGUAAAUAUGAGCGACUAUAUGAUAUGUUUGCAAUCUGUGGAUUUUGUUUCUUGUUGAACGUCUUUUUAUUUAAAAUAUAUAUAUUUUAAUGUUUCUGAUCGACAAUAUAAUUGUUUUAUAAAUAAAAAGUUGUUGGAAAAGUA